Molecule: long non-coding RNA, 387 nt
Organism: Xiphophorus couchianus (Monterrey platyfish)
Lineage: Eukaryota; Metazoa; Chordata; Actinopteri; Cyprinodontiformes; Poeciliidae
Exons: 2
Source: RefSeq, a predicted model, not a curated record
GCUCUUCCGCCGCUGUGGGUCUAGCGAGGAGAACGAGUUUCCUGGCUCUGGGCAUGCGCGGCUCAGAAUAAACGAGCUCUGCCAGAGUAACAUUGUUUCAACUCGCUUCCUCUGUGAUCCACAGAAAUUGGUUGCAAAGGAUUCAUGUGCCUUUGCACCGCUUGAUACUGGCUCAGAUUCCCCUAGGUCUGGUGCCAGUAACAAUUGGGGGCUCGUCCGGGAUCCCGAGUUUCUUGCCAGGAGAGGUUGGUGUGGAGACGACGAGAGACGGUUCCUGAGGCUUCAGGGAAGGCUGCAUUGAGUGUGUCAUCCAGAGAGCUAAGGCAAUCGGUGAAACGUCAGCAUGGCUACCAUCAACCCACGGCGAGCACUCAUAUUCAAGAUACA